CAAUGGGCGAAAGCCUGACCCAGCAACGCCGCGUGUGUGAUGAAGGCCUUCGGGUCGUAAAGCACUUUUCUGGGAGAUGAGAAAGGACAGUAUCCCAGGAAUAAGUCUCGGCUAACUACGUGCCAGCAGCCGCGGUAAAACGUAGGAGGCGAGCGUUAUCCGGAUUCACUGGGCGUAAAGCGCGUGCAGGUGGCGCGGUAAGUUGGGCGUGAAAUCUCCCGGCUCAAACUGGGAAGAGGUCGUCCAAUACUACCGUGCUUGAGAGCAGAAGAGGAAGAUGGAAAUUCCCGGUGUAGUGGUGAAAUGCGUAGAUAUCGGGAGGAACACCAGUGGCGAAGGCGAUCUUCUGGUCUGUUUCUGACACUCAGACGCGACAGCUAGGGUAGUAAACGGGAUUAGAGACCCCGGUAAUCCUAGCCGUAAACGAUGUGAACUUGGCGUUGGUGGGUUAAACUCCAUCAGUGCCGUAGCAAACGCGAUAAGUUCACCGCCUGGGGACUACGGCCGCAAGGUUA
This 515-nucleotide ribosomal RNA is filed under the name uncultured Chloroflexota bacterium. Its description in RNAcentral is "bacterial SSU rRNA". It matches the Rfam family "Bacterial small subunit ribosomal RNA", at positions 369 to 896 of the family's 1533-position model. The record is from RNAcentral. Lineage: Bacteria; Bacillati; Chloroflexota.